GACGAACGCUGGCGGCGUGCUUAACACAUGCAAGUCGAACGGAAAGGCCCUGCUUUUGUGGGGUGCUCGCGGGGCGAACGGGUGAGUAACACGUGAGUAACCUGCCCUUGACUUUGGGAUAACUGCAGGAAACUGGGGCUAAUACCGGAUAGGAGCUCCUGCUGCAUGGGGGGGGUUGGAAAGUUUCGGCGGUUUGGGAUGGACUCGGGGGUUAUCAGCUUGUUGGUGGGGUAGUGGCUUACCAAGGCUUUGACGGGUAGCCGGCCUGAGAGGGUGACCGGCGUCCAUGGGACUGCGAGACGCACCAGUCUCCUACGGGAGGCAGUAGUCGGGAGUCUGGCACAGUGGGCCGGAGCCUGAUGAAGAAGCCCUCCGAGCGGGAUGCCGGUCAUGGUGUUGUAAAGCGCUUUAGCCUGAGACGAAGCGGGAGUGACGUUAAUGGGUAAAGAAGCACCGGCUAACUACGUG
Molecule: ribosomal RNA, 468 nt
Filed under: uncultured bacterium
Lineage: Bacteria
Description: partial 16S ribosomal RNA
Rfam family: Bacterial small subunit ribosomal RNA
Source: RNAcentral